UGGGGGAUAUUGCGCAAUGGGGGAAACCCUGACGCAGCAACGCCGCGUGAAGGAAGAAGGUCUUCGGAUUGUAAACUUUUGUCUUUGGGGAAGAAAAAAAUGACGGUACCCAAGGAGGAAGCCACGGCUAACUACGUGCCAGCAGCCGCGGUAAUACGUAGGUGGCAAGCGUUGUCCGGAUUUACUGGGUGUAAAGGGCGUGUAGACGGGACUUAAAGUCAGAUGUGAAAUACCGCAGCUCAACUGCGGGGCUGCAUUUGAAACUUAAGUUCUUGAGUGCAGGAGAGGAAAGCGGAAUUCCUAGUGUAGCGGUGAAAUGCGUAGAUAUUAGGAGGAACACCGGUGGCGAAGGCGGCUUUCUGGACUGUAACUGACGUUGAGGCGCGAAAGCGUGGGUAGCAAACA
Molecule: ribosomal RNA, 405 nt
Filed under: uncultured bacterium
Lineage: Bacteria
Description: bacterial SSU rRNA
Rfam family: Bacterial small subunit ribosomal RNA
Source: RNAcentral